CCCUUAGAUGUCCUGGGCCGCACGCGCGCUACACUGAGUGUCUGAGAUACGAGUCUGCCUGGUCCGGCAAGGUCUAGGUAAUCGCUAAAAGACACAUCAUGCUUGGGAUAGAUUAUUGCAAAUAUUAAUCUUGAACGAGGAAUUCCUAGUAAGCGCAAGUCAACAGCUUGCGUUGAUUACGUCCCUGCCCUUUGUACACACCGCCCGUCGCUCCUACCGAUUGGACGAUCCGGUGAAUACCAUGGACUGAGAGUAUGAAUGGGUUCGCUUAUUUCUGCUUCUCGGGAAGUGGAGUAAAUCUUAACAUUUAGAGGAAGGAGAAGUCGUAACA
RNAcentral lists this ribosomal RNA (331 nucleotides) under uncultured eukaryote. RNAcentral's name for it is "partial 18S ribosomal RNA". It matches the Rfam family "Eukaryotic small subunit ribosomal RNA", at positions 1470 to 1796 of the family's 1831-position model. The record is from RNAcentral.